GGACCCGUAGCUUAGCGGUUUAAAGCGCCAGCCUGUCAAGCCGGAGAUCGCCGGUUCAAAACCGGUCGGGGCCG
RNAcentral lists this transfer RNA (74 nucleotides) under Candidatus Anderseniibacteriota bacterium. RNAcentral's name for it is "tRNA-Asp". It matches the Rfam family "tRNA". Rfam says of the family: Transfer RNA (tRNA) molecules are approximately 80 nucleotides in length. Their secondary structure includes four short double-helical elements and three loops (D, anti-codon, and T loops). The record is from RNAcentral. Lineage: Bacteria; Candidatus Anderseniibacteriota.